This 2400-nucleotide ribosomal RNA is filed under the name Salmonella enterica subsp. enterica serovar Typhimurium. RNAcentral describes it as "partial 23S ribosomal RNA". It matches the Rfam family "Bacterial large subunit ribosomal RNA", at positions 634 to 2925 of the family's 2925-position model. Lineage: Bacteria; Pseudomonadati; Pseudomonadota; Gammaproteobacteria; Enterobacterales; Enterobacteriaceae. The record is from RNAcentral.
UCUGUAGCAAGGUUAACCGUAUAGGGGAGCCGUAGGGAAACCGAGUCUUAACCGGGCGUUAAGUUGCAGGGUAUAGACCCGAAACCCGGUGAUCUAGCCAUGGGCAGGUUGAAGGUUGGGUAACACUAACUGGAGGACCGAACCGACUAAUGUUGAAAAAUUAGCGGAUGACCUGUGGCUGGGGGUGAAAGGCCAAUCAAACCGGGAGAUAGCUGGUUCUCCCCGAAAGCUAUUUAGGUAGCGCCUCGUGAAUUCAUCUCCGGGGGUAGAGCACUGUUUCGGCUAGGGGGCCAUCCCGGCUUACCAACCCGAUGCAAACUGCGAAUACCGGAGAAUGUUAUCACGGGAGACACACGGCGGGUGCUAACGUCCGUCGUGAAGAGGGAAACAACCCAGACCGCCAGCUAAGGUCCCAAAGUCAUGGUUAAGUGGGAAACGAUGUGGGAAGGCCCAGACAGCCAGGAUGUUGGCUUAGAAGCAGCCAUCAUUUAAAGAAAGCGUAAUAGCUCACUGGUCGAGUCGGCCUGCGCGGAAGAUGUAACGGGGCUAAACCAUGCACCGAAGCUGCGGCAGCGAACGUAUCACCCAAGACAACUUUACGGAGUUGACGAUUGACGGAGCGAAGCGACGUCAAAGCGUUCAUUAAAGUCGAGUUGGCUUAGGGAUACGUUCGUUGGGUAGGGGAGCGUUCUGUAAGCCUGUGAAGGUGUGUCGUGAGGCAUGCUGGAGGUAUCAGAAGUGCGAAUGCUGACAUAAGUAACGAUAAAGCGGGUGAAAAGCCCGCUCGCCGGAAGACCAAGGGUUCCUGUCCAACGUUAAUCGGGGCAGGGUGAGUCGACCCCUAAGGCGAGGCCGAAAGGCGUAGUCGAUGGGAAACGGGUUAAUAUUCCCGUACUUGGUGUUACUGCGAAGGGGGGACGGAGAAGGCUAUGUUGGCCGGGCGACGGUUGUCCCGGUUUAAGCGUGUAGGUGUGUGUUCCAGGUAAAUCCGGUUCACUUUAACACUGAGGCGUGACGACGAGGCACUACGGUGCUGAAGCAACAAAUGCCCUGCUUCCAGGAAAAGCCUCUAAGCAUCAGGUAACACGAAAUCGUACCCCAAACCGACACAGGUGGUCAGGUAGAGAAUACCAAGGCGCUUGAGAGAACUCGGGUGAAGGAACUAGGCAAAAUGGUGCCGUAACUUCGGGAGAAGGCACGCUGACACGUAGGUGAAGUGAUUUACUCAUGGAGCUGAAGUCAGUCGAAGAUACCAGCUGGCUGCAACUGUUUAUUAAAAACACAGCACUGUGCAAACACGAAAGUGGACGUAUACGGUGUGACGCCUGCCCGGUGCCGGAAGGUUAAUUGAUGGGGUCAGCGUAAGCGAAGCUCCUGAUCGAAGCCCCGGUAAACGGCGGCCGUAACUAUAACGGUCCUAAGGUAGCGAAAUUCCUUGUCGGGUAAGUUCCGACCUGCACGAAUGGCGUAAUGAUGGCCAGGCUGUCUCCACCCGAGACUCAGUGAAAUUGAACUCGCUGUGAAGAUGCAGUGUACCCGCGGCAAGACGGAAAGACCCCGUGAACCUUUACUAUAGCUUGACACUGAACAUUGAGCCUUGAUGUGUAGGAUAGGUGGGAGGCUUUGAAGUGUGGACGCCAGUCUGCAUGGAGCCGACCUUGAAAUACCACCCUUUAAUGUUUGAUGUUCUAACGUGGACCCGUAAUCCGGGUUGCGGACAGUGUCUGGUGGGUAGUUUGACUGGGGCGGUCUCCUCCUAAAGAGUAACGGAGGAGCACGAAGGUUGGCUAAUCCUGGUCGGACAUCAGGAGGUUAGUGCAAUGGCAUAAGCCAGCUUGACUGCGAGCGUGACGGCGCGAGCAGGUGCGAAAGCAGGUCAUAGUGAUCCGGUGGUUCUGAAUGGAAGGGCCAUCGCUCAACGGAUAAAAGGUACUCCGGGGAUAACAGGCUGAUACCGCCCAAGAGUUCAUAUCGACGGCGGUGUUUGGCACCUCGAUGUCGGCUCAUCACAUCCUGGGGCUGAAGUAGGUCCCAAGGGUAUGGCUGUUCGCCAUUUAAAGUGGUACGCGAGCUGGGUUUAGAACGUCGUGAGACAGUUCGGUCCCUAUCUGCCGUGGGCGCUGGAGAACUGAGGGGGGCUGCUCCUAGUACGAGAGGACCGGAGUGGACGCAUCACUGGUGUUCGGGUUGUCAUGCCAAUGGCACUGCCCGGUAGCUAAAUGCGGAAGAGAUAAGUGCUGAAAGCAUCUAAGCACGAAACUUGCCCCGAGAUGAGUUCUCCCUGAGACUUAGAGUCUCCUGAAGGAACGUUGAAGACGACGACGUUGAUAGGCCGGGUGUGUAAGCGCAGCGAUGCGUUGAGCUAACCGGUACUAAUGAACCGUGAGGCUUAACCUUACA